RNAcentral lists this transfer RNA (74 nucleotides) under Mariosousa coulteri. Its description in RNAcentral is "partial tRNA-His". Lineage: Eukaryota; Viridiplantae; Streptophyta; Magnoliopsida; Fabales; Fabaceae. The record is from RNAcentral.
AUGGAAAUCUCUUUAAUUUUUAGAUAGUAUAGGGGCGGAUGUAGCCAAGUGGAUCAAGGCAGUGGAUUUGUGAA